This 217-nucleotide unclassified non-coding RNA is filed under the name Hevea brasiliensis (rubber tree). Lineage: Eukaryota; Viridiplantae; Streptophyta; Magnoliopsida; Malpighiales; Euphorbiaceae. The record is from RNAcentral.
GAAAGUUGUAGUCUUUAUGUGUCAGUCAUACAUAGUUUUAUAGGUUAGUUUUCUGAAUGAAUUAUUUAUGAAUGUUUUGGUUAUUUUCUUUAGUUAUUUGCAGACAAGUCUUGUGUUGUCGGUGGAAUUAUAUUUGAUUUGUAUAGAUUAACAUAUUAGAUUAAACUGCGUGAACAAAAUAGUGAAUAAAAGGUAUUUGGUUACAGUUGGAUAGAUG